GCUAGCAGGAAACCAGGUGGCACACACAAGAGCCUGAUUUCUAACUAAAAACGAAGACUUCUUAACAUCCCCACAGCACAAGACCACCAGAAAACCCAAGCCCGCUCUGCUCAGAGAAGCCCAAUCCGAAACGUCUGAGAAAUCAGGAGAGUACAGCAGCUCUGAAAACCACCUUCUGCAUCUGGACCUGGCAAGAAAUGGACCUGGGGAUGGCUGGAAAUCAUGAUGAAGAGGAGACAGACAAACAGGAGGCAUAAAGUGAUCUGCUGCUUCUGGGCUGUCCUUGCCCAGACAGGAGGUUCUGGAUUCUAGGCCUCCAACUGUUGCCAGGAAAGAACCCUCAGACUGCCUCUUCCUGGGGCCCCAGAGCCAUGAUGACCACUCUGAGAAGCCCCAGCACUGCCCAUGUGGAUG
RNAcentral lists this long non-coding RNA (414 nucleotides) under Rattus norvegicus (Norway rat). RNAcentral describes it as "long non-coding RNA NONRATT020700". Lineage: Eukaryota; Metazoa; Chordata; Mammalia; Rodentia; Muridae. The record is from RNAcentral.